CGGACAGAGCUGGCGUAUCUGGCCUGUAUUCAGCCGUGCGCUCGCCGGCGUCAGAGAUGCCGCUCUCCAGAUUGGGACGGUGCCUGUCUGCUGGUGGGUGUGUGGUGCAUUUGCAGGUGGAGUGCGCUGAGGUGCUCGGUGCAGCGGCAUGAGCUCAGCCUUGAGGCCAGCCUCGCAAGAGGUCUGGUACCCGGGCUGUGGGAGUGCUGUUUGUGCUGGGUAGGCAAUCGGGGGCAAUGGUUUCGGGCUCGUGUGGGKGCCGAGCUGGCAUUUGGUGGCGGUCGCAUGCGACACGUACCUACGGUCAGUUCGGUCCUGCCCGAGCUCACAUCUGCUCUUCCUCGGUGUAAAAGCCGGUCAUCUGUCCGACCCGUCUUGAAACACGGACCAAGGAGUUUAGCGUGUGCGCGAGUCAUUGGGUGUUGAAAACCCAAGGGCGCAAUGAAAGUGAAGGUCUCCCUUGCGGAGCUGAUGUGUGAUCCUGGUCACCGCGGUGCAUCCAGGCGCAACAUAGUCCCGUCCUGACCGCUUGCGGUGGGGCGGAGACAGAGCGUACGCGCUGAG
Molecule: ribosomal RNA, 564 nt
Filed under: Rotylenchus montanus
Lineage: Eukaryota; Metazoa; Nematoda; Chromadorea; Rhabditida; Hoplolaimidae
Description: eukaryotic LSU rRNA
Rfam family: Eukaryotic large subunit ribosomal RNA
Source: RNAcentral